This is a long non-coding RNA of Triticum dicoccoides, 935 nucleotides long. RefSeq lists it as uncharacterized. NCBI's taxonomy places the organism in Eukaryota, Viridiplantae, Streptophyta, Magnoliopsida, Poales, Poaceae. The record is from RefSeq and is a predicted model, not a curated record. The transcript is spliced from 3 exons.
UCCUUCAGCUAAUACAAAGGGCAUGUACAUGUUUGAUAGUGUUGGUGAGCCAAUUGGAAAGGCUGUCACUGUAGGCCAGUUGGACGAUCAACUUCUAGUUCAAGCACAUCGACAUGUCUUGCGACACACUGAUGAGCUUGAUGAUCUCCGUAGAGAAUUUGUGUAUCAAGAGAAGAGGAAACCGGGUAACUUAAAUUUGACGGAUGAUGACGAUGAGGAUUUGAUUAGUAGACACUUUGCUGACUGGUUGGAACAAAAGAUGAUGGACUGGCUAUCACAGAAAAGAUAAGAGCAUUAGCCGCAAAACCAAGCAAAUGUGGGGUGCGCUAUAUAAUUAAUGGUUUCAGGUUUCAUACUAUCAGCCGCGAUACAGGACGUGUGACACAAAAUAGUGGUGUCGUGAACCUUGCUGAAAAUGGUGUGUCCUAUUAUGGCCGGUUAUCUGACAUCUUCGAAUUGUCAUACAGAGAUUACAAGGUGUUGUUCUUCAAAUGUGAUUGGUAUGAUGUUCAUCACAAAGCUGGUAUUGUAAGAGAUGAGUUUGGAUUCACUCAUGUGAACUUCUCCCGAAAAAUACAUAUAGGGGAGAAGUUAGAGGAUGAUCCUUUUGUAUUUUCUUCCCAAGUGGACCAGGUCUUUUAUAUCCAACAUCCGAGAAGUGAGAACUGGAAUACCAUGGUGAAAUUCAAACCUCGUUAUAUUUUUGACAUGGGUGGAGAACCAUCUUCAGAUGAAACAGACUAAUCUUUGUGCUUUCAGCUUGUUAUCGGCAGCUAAGAUCUAGGUUGAGCACUUGUCAUCCAUGCUCCUAGGUAGAGUUACUCCAACAUAAUUAUUGCAGCUGGGUGGAUCUUCUUCAGAAUGUAUUGAUCCCUGUGUUACUUUGUAAUGAACGAGCCUAUGGUCUUUUUUAAUGUGUAUGUUCCCUUUUGUUA